GGCAGAAGAGGGUCUGCUAGUUCUUCGUCUUCACUUGAAAGCAGCAACUAUCCAGCUCUUUCAAGUAGGUCUUCUCUCUAUCAGCAUAAUAGAGACCUUAGCACAGAUCUUAGGCUUGGACUUAGCAUUGCAACUUCUAGUCAAGGCAAUCCUUCUACACCAAGUGUUAGUGAGUCAGAUUGGCCACCCAUCAAGCCGUUUCUAAAGGAGACACUAGCAGCUGAAGAAAAUGAGUGCAACAGUGCUACCUUCUUUGUCAAGGUUUACAUGGAAGGCAUUCCAAUUGGCAGAAAACUCGACCUAUUAGCCCAUGAUGGUUACCACAACUUAAUAAGGACUCUUGAUCAUAUGUUCAACACUACCAUUAUCUGGGCUGAAAUGGAUGGUGAACAUUCAGAACAGUACCAUGUGUUGACAUAUGAAGACAAAGAAGGAGAUUGGUUGAUGGUUGGGGAUGUACCAUGGGAGAUGUUCUUAUCCUCAGUGAGGAGAUUGAAGAUCACAAGAGCAGAUAUAUAACUCUGAUCCUUUUGUAGUGUUUUUCAUCCUUUAUGAAGUGGCUUACUCGCUUUCGUUCUCAGCUGGGGAUCAUUGAAAAUAAAUAACUAGGCUGGAAGAUGGUAGUGAAAAUGUUUGAGAAUCAAAGAUGUACAUUCCUAUAAAAAGAAAUGAUAGAAAAAAAGAAUUUUGCCUUUUGCUUGUAAAUUGCUUUCUCG
This 716-nucleotide unclassified non-coding RNA is filed under the name Hevea brasiliensis (rubber tree). The record is from RNAcentral. Lineage: Eukaryota; Viridiplantae; Streptophyta; Magnoliopsida; Malpighiales; Euphorbiaceae.